CAAUAAGCGGAGGAAAAGAAACUAACAAGGAUUCCCCUAGUAACUGCGAGUGAAGCGGGAAAAGCUCAAAUUUAAAAUCUGGCGGUCUUUUGGCCGUCCGAGUUGUAAUCUAGAGAAGUGUUAUCCGCGCUGGACCGUGUACAAGUUUCCUGGAAUGGAGCAUCAUAGAGGGUGAGAAUCCCGUCUUUGACAUGGACUACCAGGGCUUUGUGAUGCGCUCUCAAAGAGUCGAGUUGUUUGGGAAUGCAGCUCAAAAUGGGUGGUAAAUUCCAUCUAAAGCUAAAUAUUGGCGAGAGACCGAUAGCGAACAAGUACCGUGAGGGAAAGAUGAAAAGAACUUUGGAAAGAGAGUUAAACAGUACGUGAAAUUGCUGAAAGGGAAACGCUUGAAGUCAGUCGCGUCAUCCAGGGAUCAACCUUGCUUUUGCUUGGUGCACUUUCUGGCUUGAUGGGUCAGCAUCAAUUUUGACCAUUGGAAAAAGGUCAAGGGAAUGUGGCAUCUUCGGAUGUGUUAUAGCCCUUGGUCACAUACAAUGGUUGGGAUUGAGGAACUCAGCACGCCGCAAGGCCGGGUUUUUAACCACGUUCGUGCUUAGGAUGCUGGCAAUAUGGCUUUAAUCGACCCGUCUUGAAACACGGACCAAGGAGUCUAACAUGCCUGCGAGUGUUUGGGUGGAAAACCCGAGCGCGUAAUGAAAGUGAAAGGUUGAGAUCCCUGUCGUGGGGAGCAUCGACGCCCGGACCAGACCUUUUGUGACGGUUCCGCGGUAGAGCAUGUAUGUUGGGACCCGAAAGAUGGUGAACUAUGCCUGAAUAGGGUGAAUCCAGAGGAAACUCUGGUGGAGGCUCGUAGCGAUUCUGACGUGCAAAUCGAUCGUCAAAUUUGGGUAUAGGGGCGAAAGACUAAUCGAACCAUCUAGUAGCUGGUUCCUGC
This 934-nucleotide small RNA is filed under the name Cortinarius sp. 2 UK-2011. RNAcentral describes it as "LSU rRNA". It matches the Rfam family "Eukaryotic large subunit ribosomal RNA", at positions 44 to 961 of the family's 3401-position model. The record is from RNAcentral. Lineage: Eukaryota; Fungi; Basidiomycota; Agaricomycetes; Agaricales; Cortinariaceae.